RNAcentral lists this transfer RNA (63 nucleotides) under Polynucleobacter sp. 35-46-207. Its description in RNAcentral is "tRNA-Ser". It matches the Rfam family "tRNA". Rfam says of the family: Transfer RNA (tRNA) molecules are approximately 80 nucleotides in length. Their secondary structure includes four short double-helical elements and three loops (D, anti-codon, and T loops). The record is from RNAcentral. Lineage: Bacteria; Pseudomonadati; Pseudomonadota; Betaproteobacteria; Burkholderiales; Burkholderiaceae.
GCCCAGGUGGCGAAAUUGGUAGACGCUAAGGUUGUGGGGGUUCGAGUCCCUUCCUGGGCACCA